RNAcentral lists this ribosomal RNA (415 nucleotides) under uncultured prokaryote. RNAcentral's name for it is "bacterial SSU rRNA". It matches the Rfam family "Bacterial small subunit ribosomal RNA", at positions 505 to 918 of the family's 1533-position model. The record is from RNAcentral.
GUGUCAGCAGCCGCGGUAAGACGUAGGGCGCGAGCGUUGUCCGGAUUUAUUGGGCGUAAAGAGCUCGUAGGCGGCUUGUCACGUCGACUGUGAAAACCCGCGGCUCAACCGCGGGCCUGCAGCCGAUACGGGCAGGCUAGAGUUCGGUAGGGGAGACUGGAAUUCCUGGUGUAGCGGUGAAAUGCGCAGAUAUCAGGAGGAACACCGGUGGCGAAGGCGGGUCUCUGGGCCGAUACCGACGCUGAGGAGCGAAAGCGUGGGGAGCGAACAGGAUUAGAGACCCUGGUAGUCCACGCUGUAAACGUUGGGCGCUAGGUGUGGGGGACCUCUCCGGUUCUCUGUGCCGCAGCUAACGCAUUAAGCGCCCCGCCUGGGGAGUACGGCCGCAAGGCUAAAACUUAAAGAAUUGGCGGGG